This 253-nucleotide ribosomal RNA is filed under the name uncultured bacterium. RNAcentral describes it as "partial 16S ribosomal RNA". It matches the Rfam family "Bacterial small subunit ribosomal RNA", at positions 524 to 776 of the family's 1533-position model. The record is from RNAcentral.
UACAGAGGUCUCCAGCGUUGUUCGGAUUCAUUGGGCGUAAAGGGUGCGUAGGCGGCGCGGUAAGUCGGGUGUGAAAUCUCGGGGCUUAACUCCGAAACUGCAUUCGAUACUGCCGUGCUUGAGGACUGGAGAGGAGACUGGAAUUUACGGUGUAGCGGUGAAAUGCGUAGAUAUCGUAAGGAAGACCAGUGGCGAAGGCGGGUCUCUGGACAGUUCCUGACGCUGAGGCACGAAGGUCAGGGGAGCAAACGGG